This 465-nucleotide ribosomal RNA is filed under the name Triticum aestivum (bread wheat). Its description in RNAcentral is "partial small subunit ribosomal RNA". Lineage: Eukaryota; Viridiplantae; Streptophyta; Magnoliopsida; Poales; Poaceae. The record is from RNAcentral.
AUGGUCGGUGGCCGCGACCACCAACAAGAGGAAUCGCGAGGCGGCGGCGGCGGCACCAAGGGGAAGCCGCAGCCCGUCACUGCCAAGGAAAAGCGGGUCACAGCUAAGGAAGUGUCGGAGUCGAGGAAGCCCGACUACAACCUUAAGAAAGACAUCGAAGUACUAUGGGGAAAGAUGAUAGGUCGUCAUUUGAGCAAGGAGGAUAUAAUCAAGCUAGUUACCGAGGCCCUCCGUAAAAUGGAUUGGAAAUAUUUGGAAUUUCUGGAUCCCAUACAUGUGUGUAGUGGUUCUCACACUCAAGAGAGUGGCAAGGUUAGGACGCAUAUUAUCAGAAUCUUGAAGAAGCAGAUUAUGAAGCUUGAUGUCAGUGAUUAUGGAUGCCUUGUUCUAUUUGAAGAGCUGACAAAGCAGUUAAAGGAAAUCAUAUUGAUAAGCUUAAACAGGUCCAUCUUUGACCAAGUAUAG